Nerophis ophidion (straightnose pipefish) is the source of this 312-nucleotide long non-coding RNA. RefSeq lists it as uncharacterized. NCBI's taxonomy places the organism in Eukaryota, Metazoa, Chordata, Actinopteri, Syngnathiformes, Syngnathidae. The transcript has 4 exons. The record is from RefSeq and is a predicted model, not a curated record.
GUACUUCCUUUCCAAUCCAGCAAGCAAGACGAAGAGUGAAGAUUUGAAUUUGAAAUCGAACUAUUUCACUGCAAAGAAAACCAUCGACGUCCACAAAGAUUCAGAAAUUGGAGACAGUGGAGGAACUACUCGACCUUGACGAGUUGAUAAAAACUCAACCAAGCAAGAAAGAUUUGCUGACAGCCAGGCUCUCAAAGAUUGGUGGAUAUGACUUAAAAAGCUGUUUAAGCACCAUCAUGGACAGGCUCAUGACAAAUUAAUUAAUGUCCAAUCUGAACAUGAAGGGGAGAGGGGGGAAAACUGCCUUUGCCG